Molecule: ribosomal RNA, 250 nt
Filed under: uncultured prokaryote
Description: partial 16S ribosomal RNA
Rfam family: Bacterial small subunit ribosomal RNA
Source: RNAcentral
UACAGAGGUCCCGAGCGCUGUUCGGAUUUACUGGGCGUAAAGGGCGCGUAGGCGGCGGGGCGUGUCAAGUGUGAAAGCUCCGGGCUCAACCCGGAAAGUGCGCUUGAAACUACCCUGCUCGAGUAUGGGAGGGGGAAUCGGAAUAUAGGGUGUAGCGGUGAAAUGCGUUGAUGUCCUAUAGAACGCCGGAGGCGAAGGCGGAUUCCUUGAACAUCACUGACGCUGAGGCGCGAAAGUCGGGGGAGCAAAC